AGGUCACUGCUAUCGGGGUUCGAUUAAGCCAUGCGAGUCGAGAGGGUUCGGCCCUCGGCGUACUGCUCAGUAACACGUGGAUAACCUGCCCUAAGGAAGGGGAUAACCCCGGGAAACUGGGGAUAAUACCCUAUAGGUUACAGAUGCUGGAAUGCUUUGUAACCCAAAGUUCCGACGCCUUAGGAUGGAUCUGCGGCCGAUUAGGUUGUUGUUGGGGUAAUGGCCCAACAAGCCCGUAAUCGGUACGGGUUGUGGGAGCAAGAGCCCGGAGUUGGAUUCUGAGACACGAAUCCAGGCCCUACGGGGCGCAGCAGGCGCGAAAACUUUACAAUGCGGGCAACCGUGAUAAGGGAACCUCGAGUGCCUGUAUAUGCAGGCUGUCCAGGUGUCUAAAAAACACUUGAAGAAAGGGCCGGGCAAGACCGGUGCCAGCCGCCGCGGUAAUACCGGCGGCUCGAGUGGUGGCCGCUUUUAUUGGGCUUAAAGCGUUCGUAGCUGGUUUGUUAAGUCUCUUGGGAAAUCUGACGGCUCAACCGUCAGGCGUCUAAGGGAUACUGGCAAUCUUGGAACCGGGAGAGGUGAGGGGUACUUCGGGGGUAGGAGUGAAAUCCUGUAAUCCUCGAGGGACCACCUGUGGCGAAGGCGCCUCACCAGAACGGCUUCGACAGUGAGGGACGAAAGCUGGGGGAGCAAACCGGAUUAGAUACCCGGGUAGUCCCAGCCGUAAACGAUGUGCGUUAGGUGUAUCGACGACCACGAGUCGUCGAGGUGCCGAAGGGAAACCGUGAAACGUACCGCCUGGGAAGUACGGUCGCAAGGCUGAAACUUAAAGGAAUUGGCGGGGGAGCACCACAACAGGUGGAGCCUGCGGUUUAAUUGGACUCAACGCCGGAAAUCUCACCGGAUAAGACAGCGGAAUGAUUGCCGGGCUGAAGACUCUGCAUGACUAGCUGAGAGGAGGUGCAUGGACGUCGUCAGUUCGUACUGUGAAGCAUCCUGUUAAGUCAGGCAACGAGCGAGACCCACGCCAACAGUUGCCAGCAUGGUCUCCGGACUGAUGGGGACACUGUUGGGACCGCCUCUGCUAAAGAGGAGGAAGGAUGGGCAACGGUAGGUCUGCAUGCCCCGAAUUAUCCGGGCUACACGCGGGCUACAAUGGGCAGGACAAUGGGUAUCGACACCGAAAGGUGAAGGCAAUCUCCUAAACCUGUCCGUAGUUCGGAUUGUGGGCUGUAACUCGCCCACAUGAAGCUGGAAUCUGUAGUAAUCGCGUUUCAACAUAACGCGGUGAAUGUGUCCCUGCUCCUUGCACACACCGCCCGUCAAACCACCCGAGUGGGGUUUGGAUGAGGCUGCGGUCGUUGCCGCAGUCGAAUCUAGGUUCCGCAAGGGGGGUU
RNAcentral lists this ribosomal RNA (1397 nucleotides) under uncultured archaeon. RNAcentral's name for it is "bacterial SSU rRNA". It matches the Rfam family "Archaeal small subunit ribosomal RNA". The record is from RNAcentral.